Molecule: ribosomal RNA, 461 nt
Filed under: uncultured beta proteobacterium
Lineage: Bacteria; Pseudomonadati; Pseudomonadota; Betaproteobacteria
Description: bacterial SSU rRNA
Rfam family: Bacterial small subunit ribosomal RNA
Source: RNAcentral
AGGAAAGCAGGGGAUCGCAAGACCUUGCGCUUUUGGGGCGGCCGAUGUCUGAUUAGCUAGUUGGUGAGGUAAAGGCUUACCAAGGCUUCGAUCAGUAGCUGGUCUGAGAGGACGACCAGCCACACUGGGACUGAGACACGGCCCAGACUCCUACGGGAGGCAGCAGUGGGGAAUUUUGGACAAUGGGGGAAACCCUGAUCCAGCCAUGCCGCGUGAGUGAAGAAGGCCUUCGGGUUGUAAAGCUCUUUCAGCCGGAACGAAAAGGUUACGGUUAAUACCCGUGACUAAUGACGGUACCGGAAGAAGAAGCACCGGCUAACUACGUGCCAGCAGCCGCGGUAAUACGUAGGGUGCGAGCGUUAAUCGGAAUUACUGGGCGUAAAGCGUGCGCAGGCGGUUUUGUAAGUCAGAUGUGAAAUCCCCGGGCUCAACCUGGGAACUGCGUUUGAAACUACAAGGCU